AGAACACAACAGCAUUAUCCCAGAACACAACAUUUGCAGAAACGCUGCAUUUCAAGUUGCUCACAACGGAAGUGCUCCAGACCACUAGGGGCAGUGCAAAGUGGAAUUAGUUGGGUUCCCACCAAAAUAAAAACAAACUUGUUGACAGCCGGUCAAUUUCAAAAUUAUCCCAACCAAGAACACUACUUAAAUUCACCAAAUUUGUCUUUUGCGGCUCAUGUGGGAAACAUUUUCAGUUUUUGGCUGACGCUGAAGACGACGACAUGGCUCUCCCUGUAAGGUGCUGGUACAGUGUCUUGGUGAGGAAUCAAGGACCGGGACCACCAUAAACCAUACAGACUGCAAUCAUCCUCCCAGCAAGGAAGUAUUCAUCAUCUUUUGCCGCUGUAAUGAAUGGAUAGUUUUCUCCAAUUAAUAAACAUUUUAAAUCACUUUUACCCUC
Long non-coding RNA from Esox lucius (northern pike), 442 nucleotides. Lineage: Eukaryota; Metazoa; Chordata; Actinopteri; Esociformes; Esocidae. The record is from Ensembl.